RNAcentral lists this ribosomal RNA (484 nucleotides) under uncultured bacterium. Its description in RNAcentral is "bacterial SSU rRNA". It matches the Rfam family "Bacterial small subunit ribosomal RNA", at positions 28 to 511 of the family's 1533-position model. The record is from RNAcentral.
GAUGAACGCUAGCGGCAGGCUUAACACAUGCAAGUCGAGGGGUAUAGGGAGCUUGCUUCCUAGAGACCGGCGCACGGGUGCGUAACGCGUAUGCAAUCUACCUUUUGCAGAGGGAUAGCCCAGAGAAAUUUGGAUUAAUAUCUCAUAGUAUAGCAGUUUCGCAUGAAACCACUAUUAAAGUCACAACGGCAAAAGAUGAGCAUGCGUCCCAUUAGCUUGUUGGUAAGGUAACGGCUUACCAAGGCAACGAUGGGUAGGGGUCCUGAGAGGGAGAUCCCCCACACUGGUACUGAGACACGGACCAGACUCCUACGGGAGGCAGCAGUGAGGAAUAUUGGUCAAUGGACGCAAGUCUGAACCAGCCAUGCCGCGUGCAGGAUGACGGUCCUAUGGAUUGUAAACUGCUUUUGUACGAGAAGAAACAACAUUACGUGUAAUGUCUUGACGGUAUCGUAAGAAUAAGGAUCGGCUAACUCCGUGCCAG